RNAcentral lists this ribosomal RNA (1343 nucleotides) under uncultured bacterium. RNAcentral describes it as "16S ribosomal RNA". It matches the Rfam family "Bacterial small subunit ribosomal RNA", at positions 28 to 1378 of the family's 1533-position model. The record is from RNAcentral.
GACGAACGCUGUCGGCGUGCUUAACACAUGCAAGUCGAACGGAAAGGCCCUGCUUUUGUGGGGUGCUCGAGUGGCGAACGGGUGAGUAACACGUGAGUAACCUGCCCUUGACUUUGGGAUAACUUCAGGAAACUGGGGCUAAUACCGGAUAGGAGCUCCUGCUGCAUGGUGGGGGUUGGAAAGUUUCGGCGGUUGGGGAUGGACUCGCGGCUUAUCAGCUUGUUGGUGGGGUAGUGGCUUACCAAGGCUUUGACGGGUAGCCGGCCUGAGAGGGUGACCGGCCACAUUGGGACUGAGAUACGGCCCAGACUCCUACGGGAGGCAGCAGUGGGGAAUAUUGCACAAUGGGCGGAAGCCUGAUGCAGCAACGCCGCGUGCGGGAUGACGGCCUUCGGGUUGUAAACCGCUUUCGCCUGUGACGAAGCGUGAGUGACGGUAAUGGGUAAAGAAGCACCGGCUAACUACGUGCCAGCAGCCGCGGUGAUACGUAGGGUGCGAGCGUUGUCCGGAUUUAUUGGGCGUAAAGGGCUCGUAGGUGGUUGAUCGCGUCGGAAGUGUAAUCUUGGGGCUUAACCCUGAGCGUGCUUUCGAUACGGGUUGACUUGAGGAAGGUAGGGGAGAAUGGAAUUCCUGGUGGAGCGGUGGAAUGCGCAGAUAUCAGGAGGAACACCAGUGGCGAAGGCGGUUCUCUGGGCCUUUCCUGACGCUGAGGAGCGAAAGCGUGGGGAGCGAACAGGCUUAGAUACCCUGGUAGUCCACGCUGUAAACGGUGGGUACUAGGUGUGGGGUCCAUUCCACGGGUUCCGUGCCGUAGCUAACGCUUUAAGUACCCCGCCUGGGGAGUACGGCCGCAAGGCUAAAACUCAAAGGAAUUGACGGGGCCCCGCACAAGCGGCGGAGCAUGCGGAUUAAUUCGAUGCAACGCGUAGAACCUUACCUGGGUUUGACAUGGAUCGGGAGCGCUCAGAGAUGGGUGUGCCUCUUUUGGGGUCGGUUCACAGGUGGUGCAUGGCUGUCGUCAGCUCGUGUCGUGAGAUGUUGGGUUAAGUCCCGCAACGAGCGCAACCCUUGUUCACUGUUGCCAGCACGUUAUGGUGGGGACUCAGUGGAGACCGCCGGGGUCAACUCGGAGGAAGGUGGGGAUGACGUCAAGUCAUCAUGCCCCUUAUGUCUAGGGCUUCACGCAUGCUACAAUGGCUGGUACAGAGAGUGGCGAGCCUGUGAGGGUGAGCGAAUCUCGGAAAGCCGGUCUCAGUUCGGAUUGGGGUCUGCAACUCGACCUCAUGAAGUCGGAGUCGCUAGUAAUCGCAGAUCAGCAACGCUGCGGUGAAUACGUUCCCGGG